Molecule: ribosomal RNA, 493 nt
Filed under: uncultured bacterium
Lineage: Bacteria
Description: partial 16S ribosomal RNA
Rfam family: Bacterial small subunit ribosomal RNA
Source: RNAcentral
GACGAACGCUGGCGGCGUGCCUAAUACAUGCAAGUCGAACGGUUUAGUUCCAAGAGGCUUGCCUUUUGGACCUAGACAGUGGCGGACGGGUGAGUAACACGUAGUCAACCUACCUGUCAAACCGGGAUAACCUCGGGAAACCGAAGCUAAACCCGGAUAAGCUCCUUUUCGCAUGAAGGGGGGGUGAAAAGGUUCGACCUGAUGACAGAUGGGCCUGCGGCGCAUUAGCUAGUAGGUAGGGUAACGGCCUACCUAGGCGGUGAUGCGUAGCCGACCUGAGAGGGCGUAAGGUCACAUGGGAACUGGGAUAGGGCCCAGGCUCCUACGGGAGGGAGCAGUAGGGAACGUUCGGCAGUGGGCGAGAGCCUGACCGAGCGACGCCGCGUGAGUGAGGAAGGCCCUCGGGUUGUAAAGCUCUGUUGUGUGGGAAGAAGGGAAAGGGUAGGAGCCUUAGGUGACGGUACCAAACGAGAAAGCCCCGGCUAACUACGUG